UACGUAGGGUGCAAGCGCUGUCCGGAAUCAUUGGGCGUAAAGAGCGUGUAGGCGGCUCGAUUAGUCCGCUGUAAAAGUCCAGGGCUCAACCCUGGGAUGCCGGUGGAAACUGUCGGGCUAGAGUCCGGGAGAGGCGAGUGGAAUUCCUGGUGUAGCGGUGAAAUGCGCAGAUAUCAGGAGGAACACCAAUGGCGAAGGCAGCUCGCUGGAACGGUACUGACGCUGAGACGCGAAAGCGUGGGGAGCAAACAGG
Molecule: ribosomal RNA, 253 nt
Filed under: uncultured bacterium
Lineage: Bacteria
Description: partial 16S ribosomal RNA
Rfam family: Bacterial small subunit ribosomal RNA
Source: RNAcentral